ACUCCAAUGGGUCAGUGGUAGACUGGUUUCUUAAUUUCCACACGUUGGUCAACGUUUUCGAGGCAGACGUGGGUUUGAUUCCCGCUUGGAGCG
This is a non-coding RNA of Mycena galopus ATCC 62051, 93 nucleotides long. The record is from the annotation of a GenBank genome assembly. Lineage: Eukaryota; Fungi; Basidiomycota; Agaricomycetes; Agaricales; Mycenaceae.